This 432-nucleotide ribosomal RNA is filed under the name uncultured bacterium. RNAcentral describes it as "partial 16S ribosomal RNA". It matches the Rfam family "Bacterial small subunit ribosomal RNA", at positions 29 to 507 of the family's 1533-position model. The record is from RNAcentral.
AACGAACGCUGGCGGCAUGCCUAACACAUGCAAGUCGAACGAGACCUUCGGGUCUAGUGGCGCACGGGUGCGUAACGCGUGGGAACCUGCCCUUAGGUUCGGAAUAACUCCCCGAAAGGGGUGCUAAUACCGGAUAAUGUCUUCGGACCAAAGAUUUAUCGCCUUUGGAUGGGCCCGCGUUGGAUUAGCUAGUUGGUAGGGUAAAAGCCUACCAAGGCGACGAUCCAUAGCUGGUCUGAGAGGAUGAUCAGCCACACUGGGACUGAGACACGGCCCAGACUCCUACGGGAGGCAGCAGGGGGGAAUAUUGGACAAUGGGCGAAAGCCUGAUCCAGCAAUGCCGCGUGAGUGAUGAAGGCCUUAGGGUUGUAAGCUCUUUUACCCGGGAUGAUAAUGACAGUACCGGGAGAAUAAGCUCCGGCUAACUCCGUG